Molecule: ribosomal RNA, 429 nt
Filed under: Acidobacteriota bacterium
Lineage: Bacteria; Pseudomonadati; Acidobacteriota
Description: Acidobacteria bacterium partial 16S ribosomal RNA
Rfam family: Bacterial small subunit ribosomal RNA
Source: RNAcentral
UGGGGAAUUUUGGACAAUGGGGGAAACCCUGAUCCAGCCAUCCCGCGUGUGCGAUGAAGGCCUUCGGGUUGUAAAGCACUUUUGGCAGGAAAGAAACGUCAUGGGUUAAUACCCCGUGAAACUGACGGUACCUGCAGAAUAAGCACCGGCUAACUACGUGCCAGCAGCCGCGGUAAUACGUAGGGUGCAAGCGUUAAUCGGAAUUACUGGGCGUAAAGCGUGCGCAGGCGGUUCGGAAAGAAAGAUGUGAAAUCCCAGAGCUCAACUUUGGAACUGCAUUUUUAACUACCGUGCUAGAGUGUGUCAGAGGGAGGUGGAAUUCCGCGUGUAGCAGUGAAAUGCGUAGAUAUGCGGAGGAACACCGAUGGCGAAGGCAGCCUCCUGGGAUAACACUGACGCUCAUGCACGAAAGCGUGGGAAGCAAACAGG